GACGAACGCUGGCGGCGUGCUUAACACAUGCAAGUCGUACGGUAAGGCCCUUUCGGGGGUACACGAGUGGCGAACGGGUGAGUAACACGUGAGUAACCUGCCCACAACUUUGGGAUAACGCUAGGAAACUGGUGCUAAUACUGGAUAUGUGCUCCUGCUGCAUGGUGGGGGUUGGAAAGCUCCGGCGGUUGUGGAUGGACUCGCGGCCUAUCAGCUUGUUGGUGGGGUAGUGGCCUACCAAGGCGGCGAGGGGUAGCCGGCCUGAGAGGGUGACCGGCCACAUUGGGACUGAGAUACGGCCCAGACUCCUACGGGAGGCAGAGGUGGGGAAUAUUGCACAAUGGGCGCAAGCCUGAUGCAGCAACGCCGCGUGCGGGAUGACGGCCUUCGGGUUGUAAACCGCUUUCAGCAGGGACGAAGCUUUUUGUGACGGUACCUGCAGAAGAAGCACCGGCUAACUACG
This 463-nucleotide ribosomal RNA is filed under the name uncultured bacterium. Its description in RNAcentral is "partial 16S ribosomal RNA". It matches the Rfam family "Bacterial small subunit ribosomal RNA", at positions 28 to 505 of the family's 1533-position model. The record is from RNAcentral.